This 253-nucleotide ribosomal RNA is filed under the name uncultured prokaryote. Its description in RNAcentral is "partial 16S ribosomal RNA". It matches the Rfam family "Bacterial small subunit ribosomal RNA", at positions 525 to 775 of the family's 1533-position model. The record is from RNAcentral.
ACGUAGGAGGCAAGCGUUAUCCGGAGUUACUGGGCGUAAAGGGCGUGCAGGCGGUUGGCUAAGUUCGUUGUGAAAGCGCCCAGGCUUAACCGGGCGAGGACAAUGAAGACUGGUCAGCUAGAGGACGGUAGAGGGGUGUGGAAUUCCGGGUGUAGUGGUGAAAUGCGUAGAUAUCAGAAGGAACGUCGGCGGCGAAAGCGACUCUCUAGACCGUAACUGACGCUGAGUGUGCGAAAGCUAGGGGAGCAAACGG